This 70-nucleotide transfer RNA is filed under the name Lotharella globosa. The record is from RNAcentral. Lineage: Eukaryota; Cercozoa; Chlorarachniophyceae.
UCAUUAACGUUAUAUCCUCCUUUAUUGUUUGACUUGUUAGUUGUAAGAGGUGGUAGUGUUUCUGAAUUGU